This 513-nucleotide ribosomal RNA is filed under the name uncultured bacterium. RNAcentral describes it as "partial 16S ribosomal RNA". It matches the Rfam family "Bacterial small subunit ribosomal RNA", at positions 28 to 523 of the family's 1533-position model. The record is from RNAcentral.
GACGAACGCUGGCGGCGUGCCUAAUACAUGCAAGUUGAGCACUGAAGACUGGUACUUGUACCGGUUGGAUGAGCAGCGAACGGGUGAGUAACGCGUGGGUAACCUGCCCUAUAGAGGGGGAUAACUAGAGGAAACUUUAGCUAAUACCGCAUAAAAUCUAAUAACACAUGUUAUAAGAUUGAAAGUGCCAAUUGGUACACUAUAGGAUGGACCCGCGUUGUAUUAGCUAGUUGGUGAGGUAAAGGCUCACCAAGGCGAUGAUACAUAGCCGACCUGAGAGGGUGAUCGGCCACCCUGGGACUGAGACACGGCCCAGACUCCUACGGGAGGCAGCAGUAGGGAAUCUUCGGCAAUGGACGAAAGUCUGACCGAGCAACGCCGCGUGAGUGAAGAAGGUUUUCGGAUCGUAAAACUCUGUUGUAAGAGAAGAACACCAGUAAGAGUGGAAAGCUUACUGGCUGACGGUAUCUUACCAGAAAGCCACGGCUAACUACGUGCCAGCAGCCGCCGUAA